CCUUCCCCAGCCCUCUCGCUCGGGGUCCUGCGGCCCCCAGCCUGUUUGCUAUGGCUGCUACGUGCUGCUUGCCUGGGGGCGAAAGCCUUUUCUAACAACUGGGUCUGAGUCAGCUGUUGGAGGAUGAUGGGCAGAGGGAGAAGGCUGCCAUAGCAAUUUACCCACCCUUACUGCACAGCGAGUACUGUAACUCUGACAGAAAGAAAGUCUGACAGUUUAAUUGCAGAAAACAGGGGACGGGAAAACUAAGCCUUCCCAGCCAUAUUUGGCAGAAGUUCUGGAAUGAGAUUGCCAUUAGAGGAGAAAGUAGGAAGCGAACCCUCAUGAGGAGCACCUAAGAGAGAUCAGGACGCUCUAACUUGGCCAAGGGGAGACAAGGAGAACCUGGAGCUCUUGCCACCAAGGAACGGAACAGAAGUAAGCUGUCUUCUGUGUCCAUGUCACCUGGCUUCAGUUAGAAAUACAAGAAUAAACAGGAAAAUAACUUGCAGCAUAUAGUUUGAGAAUCAUCCCACCUGUUGCCUACCUGAACCAAGAACAAGAUCCUGGAGCAGGACUGUGCUGGUACUAGUUUGCUGCAGAUCUACUGGGAUCCUUAUAUUGAGAGAGACCUAAUAGUCUGUAACUUCUAGACGAAGUAAACUAUCAUGAAGUGGUCUGUAAAGCAUGUGGCAAACAUCAAGCAAAGCGUGGAGCCGUUUGUUCAUCCCGGGCACACCGAAGAUGUGAUGGAGGUCACUCGCGCCUCGCAGCCUCGCCUGGGCAGCCGAGCUCAGCGCGCACCUCUGGGCACCAUCUUUGGUGGGAAGGAAGGCUGGGAGCAAUUUCACCUCUAAGGCAAUUUCUGACAGCUGGGGCUGUGGCGAUGCCACCUACCUACCAAAAUGGAGGGCUGACUUCUGGGAAGCUCUGCCCGAGUCCGGCAUUUCUCCCAGAUUGUAUUCAGUGCCACGUGGGUACACAGCACGGCUUUCAGGAGCCGUUUUGCCGCCGACUCUCGAACUGCUUCCUCGGGGGGAGCGGUUUGGGAGCCGGGGGUCACCCCACCCCCCCACCGCGGCCCGGGGCCGGUCCGGCGCCCCGGCUGCAGGCGGGAGGGAUGCUCCCCCCUCCCGGGCGCCGGCAC
This is a long non-coding RNA of Athene cunicularia (burrowing owl), 1126 nucleotides long. RefSeq lists it as uncharacterized. The record is from RefSeq and is a predicted model, not a curated record. The transcript has 6 exons. Lineage: Eukaryota; Metazoa; Chordata; Aves; Strigiformes; Strigidae.